UAGGGAAUCUUCGGCAAUGGACGAAAGUCUGACCGAGCAACGCCGCGUGAGUGAAGAAGGUUUUCGGAUCGUAAAACUCUGUUGUUAGAGAAGAACAAGGACGUUAGUAACUGAACGUCCCCUGACGGUAUCUAACCAGAAAGCCACGGCUAACUACGUGCCAGCAGCCGCGGUAAUACGUAGGUGGCAAGCGUUGUCCGGAUUUAUUGGGCGUAAAGCGAGCGCAGGCGGUUUCUUAAGUCUGAUGUGAAAGCCCCCGGCUCAACCGGGGAGGGUCAUUGGAAACUGGGAGACUUGGGUGCAGAAGAGGAGAGUGGAAUUCCAUGUGUAGCGGUGAAAUGCGUAGAUAUAUGGAGGAACACCAGUGGCGAAGGCGGCUCUCUGGUCUGUAACUGACGCUGAGGCUCGAAAGCGUGGGGAGCAAACAGG
This 429-nucleotide ribosomal RNA is filed under the name Pseudomonadota bacterium. RNAcentral's name for it is "Proteobacteria bacterium partial 16S ribosomal RNA". It matches the Rfam family "Bacterial small subunit ribosomal RNA", at positions 355 to 776 of the family's 1533-position model. The record is from RNAcentral. Lineage: Bacteria; Pseudomonadati; Pseudomonadota. RNAcentral also lists the same sequence under 2 other names.